Long non-coding RNA from Vespa mandarinia (Asian giant hornet), 1949 nucleotides. RefSeq lists it as uncharacterized. The record is from RefSeq and is a predicted model, not a curated record. Lineage: Eukaryota; Metazoa; Arthropoda; Insecta; Hymenoptera; Vespidae.
UUAUAUAUUAAAAUUAAAAUCAGUGAUUCUCUGAAAGAUAUAACAAUAUUUAUAGUAUCUAAAUUGAUUAACAAUAUAUUUGUGCUCUGAUCAUAAGCAAGCAAAUUUUGUACAACAAAAGAUGUUUACUAUACACUCAAGGCAUGGAAAUAGUUUAGGUGUGACAUUUCCAGCAACCAGAAUCAUAAUUCAUUAUAGCCAUUCAAGACUAUGCCAGAUAGCACUAUAUAUUACGAAAUUUUUAAAAUAAGCAUACCGAUGAUGUGUUAGAUAUUUUAAAUAACCAACUAAUUGAUAUGUAUGAUAUUCUUAAUAAAAAACUGAUUUCUAGACUAUCUGCUAAUAAAGAGUAGAAGUUGACAUUUUUUAAAGCAUAAAAAUUUAGGAAAUCGUAAAUCUAUAAUAGUCUUGUUGUUUUAAAAUAUUAACUAGGGAGUGUUACCAAAGAUUUUCUCAAAAUCAUCUGAAUAGUAGAAUUAUCUACUGAUGAACAAAUUAUUUUAUUUACCAUUAUAUUAUUUUAAUUAAAAAGAUAAUCUUUUAAAGCUUUCAACUCUAGCGACUCAAUAAUGAAGUAAUAAUCUAGAAAACAGAUAGCCAAUCUUACUACAAUAGAUCAUAGAGGUUUUUUAAAACUAAGAAAUUAAAAAAAUGAUACUCUUAUUAAAAUAGCGGACAGUUUUAAUAAAAAAAUUGCAAUAUAUCCAAAAACAAAGUUUAUAACCAGCCUAAUAAUAAGAAAAACUAGUAGUCUCAUUAAUUUAAAUAGCAGGAUUAAAUAAUAAAAACGAUACCAUCUCAAUAAAAGCUAUAAGAUAGGUCAUAAUUGUCCUAGUAAAGCAUAUUAAUUAAUGAAACUCAAAAAUCAAAAACAGCUAAUGUUUCUCAAUUAUAUACAAGAAGAGGUCAAUGGAAUAAAUCACCGAUAUUUGCCUUGCUUAAAAUAAAUUACUUGAAUGCUUUUGCUUAUAUAUUGAAGGAGUUUGUAAAUAUUACGUACCGAAUAAAGAAGAUGGAAGGAAAAUAUUGUGUGGAAUAUGACAUAAAUGAUUGAUUACUCAAGUCAUUUUCUAUGAAGAACUAAGCAAUAUCUAUAUAUUGAAGUAUGAUAGGAGCAAUAUUUGUACAAAUUAUACAAAAGAUUACUAUAAAAAAUAUUGAGCACAAAAUGUACGAUACUUGCAGAGAAAAGGGAGAUUUAAGAAUGUGUACCAUUUCAUCAAUCUUUUGUUUAGUUAAUGAAGUUUUUUAAUUAAGCAUCUUGAGGUGUUAUAUGCAGUCAAAAGGAUUAAAAGUAUAUGAACUUAAUGAUAUGGAUACAAUUACAUUUGUGACAGUCUGAAAGAUGAUAUCAAGUUCAUCAUAUUUUCAAUAUAAUACAUAAUUUAUCAUUGUAGUAAAAAAAAUUUUUCCAUAAUAAUUAUUCCAAUGAAAACACGUCAAAUAAGUAGCAACCAGCUAAUCUGUUCAAUAGAUCGUCAAUUAUCAUAAAAAUUACAUCUUCCUCGCAAAGGCUGAAAUUGUAUAUAGAAUAAUAAAUGCAAGUUUUGAAGAUGUAAUUUUCAUACCUUUGGAUACAUAUAUUUAAAGAAUGGUCUGGUGCAUUAGUUCUGCAAAUAAAUCUUCAAGGGGACCUAAAUUAAAACGUUUUAAAAAGCAACCAAUAACAAAUUAUCUCUUUUCUACAUUAUUGGCAUUUAAAUAUUUUAACAUUGUGACAAAAAUAAUUAUUCUUUAAUAUAUAACAAAUUAUUCAUGAUAAUUUUUUGUGUUUGAUAAGCAAUGUGGAAAAAUGACAAAAUUUCUUUAUUAAAAUAAUUGUGAAAUGUAAUGUAAAAUAUAUAUAAAAUAAAAUGAUUAAUAUUACACAAUUAAUCCAACUUAUCUAACUAUCAUGACUUAGCAAGAUUUUUUCAAUUCAAAAGAUUAAAAUACUUAUAUCAUAUUAU